GCAAAACGCGAAGAACCUUACCAGGUCUUGACAUCCCGCUGCCCGCUCUAGAGAUAGAGUUUUCCCUUCGGGGACAGCGGUGACAGGUGGUGCAUGGUUGUCGUCAGCUCGUGUCGUGAGAUGUUGGGUUAAGUCCCGCAACGAGCGCAACCCUUGAUCUUAGUUGCCAGCAUUCAGUUGGGCACUCUAAGGUGACUGCCGGUGAUAAACCGGAGGAAGGUGGGGAUGACGUCAAAUCAUCAUGCCCCUUAUGACCUGGGCUACACACGUGCUACAAUGGACGGUACAGAGGGUCGCAACCCCGCGGGGUGAGCAAAUCCCAUAAAACCGUUACUCAGUUCGGAUUGUAGGCUGCAACUCGCCUACAUGAAGCCGGAAUCGCUAGUAAUCGUGGAUCAGCAUGCCACGGUGAAUACGUUCCCGGGUC
This 427-nucleotide ribosomal RNA is filed under the name uncultured bacterium. RNAcentral's name for it is "bacterial SSU rRNA". It matches the Rfam family "Bacterial small subunit ribosomal RNA", at positions 954 to 1380 of the family's 1533-position model. The record is from RNAcentral.